UGGCUCAGGAUGAACGCUAGCUACAGGCUUAACACAUGCAAGUCGAGGGGCAUCAUGGAGUUUGCUUGCAAACUCUGAUGGCGACCGGCGCACGGGUGAGUAACGCGUAUCCAACCUUCCCUAUAGUAGAGGAUAGCCCGGCGAAAGUCGGAUUAAUACUCUAUGUUUUCCGUUGCAGACAUCUAAGAUGGAACAAAGGCUUGCCGCUAUAGGAUGGGGAUGCGUCUGAUUAGGUAGUCGGCGGGGUAACGGCCCACCGAGCCAUCGAUCAGUAGGGGUUCUGAGAGGAAGGUCCCCCACAUUGGAACUGAGACACGGUCCAAACUCCUACGGGAGGCAGCAGUGAGGAAUAUUGGUCAAUGGGCGAGAGCCUGAACCAGCCAAGUAGCGUGCCAGGACGACGGCCCUAUGGGUUGUAAACUGCUUUUAUGCGGGGAUAAAGCUCACUACGUGUAGUGUUUUGUAGGUACCGCAUGAAUAAGGACCGGCUAAUUCCGUGCCAGCCGCUGC
This 510-nucleotide ribosomal RNA is filed under the name uncultured bacterium. RNAcentral describes it as "bacterial SSU rRNA". It matches the Rfam family "Bacterial small subunit ribosomal RNA", at positions 20 to 518 of the family's 1533-position model. The record is from RNAcentral.